GGUACAACAAAAAGGACUUAAAAAAAACGACAGAAGUAUCGCCAACGCACGGUUCUCGGCCACAGUCAGUGCAGUAGAUGAUGUCUCCUUUUGCUUAUGAGGCCCGUAUUCCCCAUCACUCGAAAUAAAAAUCUCCUAUUGGGGGAAUCUCUGUACCAGGACUCGUCGUAUGUGUCGGUGUGUUUAUUCACUCUCAUCUUGAAAAUCCAUUUCAAUUGUUUUAUUUUCUCCUGAAACCGAAACACACGUCCUGCCGGUUUAUGUGUCGUUUCCAUUUCAACAUGUGCGACAUGCAUUCGGCUCGCUAAAUCACCAACAACCAAUUUACUAGAGGAAACACGGGAGACGAAAGGAACCUGAUGAUGGUCUAAUUCCAGGCCGAGGUCUCCCCAGCAGAAGUGAAAUAUAAAGGAUGCAGAUGUCCGGCAAAUGGAUCACCUGAUCAACCAGAAGAAGAAUGUCUUGAAAUUGAAAAUGUUAGUCUAGAAGAAUCAUUAACAAUUACUCAUACAAAAAUACCCAAAUUCGAAGAUCAAACAAAUAAGAAAUUAACAUGUUUUGCAGCUUGUAUGAUGGAACAAAUGAAUAUCACAAACGGUUGUUCAUAUCAAUAUGAACUUGGUAAACAGCAUGUGAUUGGACGUAAAAUGAACAAUAAAGAUUUUGUGGAUGCAUUGGAUAUAUGCAAGGAUAGUGCGCAAGGAAAAGAACGUUGUGAAUGCGGUUACAAUGUUUAUAAAUGUAUAACUGAUUACUUCAUUUCAUUGGAAGGAAAAGGAUCUUACAAACCUUAAAAU
This is an RNA transcript of Episyrphus balteatus (marmalade hoverfly), 797 nucleotides long. RefSeq lists it as uncharacterized. The record is from RefSeq and is a predicted model, not a curated record. Lineage: Eukaryota; Metazoa; Arthropoda; Insecta; Diptera; Syrphidae. The transcript is spliced from 3 exons.